This 345-nucleotide ribosomal RNA is filed under the name Hypocreales sp. Its description in RNAcentral is "eukaryotic LSU rRNA". It matches the Rfam family "Eukaryotic large subunit ribosomal RNA", at positions 39 to 386 of the family's 3401-position model. The record is from RNAcentral. Lineage: Eukaryota; Fungi; Ascomycota; Sordariomycetes; Hypocreales.
CAAAACAAAAAGCGGAGGAAAAGAAACCAACAGGGAAGGCCCCAGAAACGGCGAGUGAAGCGGCAACAGCUCAAAUUUGAAAUCUGGCCCCCAGGGCCCGAGUUGUAAUUUGCAGAGGAUGCUUUUGGCGCGGUGCCUUCCGAGUUCCCUGGAACGGGACGCCAUAGAGGGUGAGAGCCCCGUCUGGUCGGACACCAAGCCAGUGUAAAGCUCCUUCGACGAGUCGAGUAGUUUGGGAAUGCUGCUCUAAAUGGGAGGUAUAUGUCUUCUAAAGCUAAAUACCGGCCAGAGACCGAUAGCGCACAAGUAGAGUGAUCGAAAGAUGAAAAGCACUUUGAAAAGAGG